This 201-nucleotide long non-coding RNA is filed under the name Elaeis guineensis (African oil palm). RNAcentral's name for it is "long non-coding RNA (EGUI_LNC011618)". The record is from RNAcentral. Lineage: Eukaryota; Viridiplantae; Streptophyta; Magnoliopsida; Arecales; Arecaceae.
AAAUUUUUGAAUUACAAAAAAAUUAUUGAUUAUGAUCCGCCUGCUAACAAUUGUUGCUUGUUUGAACGGCAAAAAAAAAAAAUUUACUUUCUUUGAUGUUAUGAUGCCUUUUUGAAUAGUCUGAAAUACAUAUGAUAGAACGGUUUUAACUCAUAAUUUUUCGCUUAUGAGACCUGUCUACUUGUCUAAUCCAUUGGACCA